UAACUUAUACAAAGAAUCACUAUUGCCUAUAUUAACAAACAAGGUUUAAAAUUGAUCUAACAAAUUAAAAGACUGUCCAACAUUUUAAAGAACAAUUUUACUAAAGUAAAACUCGUUUAUCUAGUAAAUUAUGUGCCAGCAACUGCGGUUACACAUAAAGUAAAACAAAUCAAAUUAUAAAUAUCUAAACAAUCAAACAAAUUAACUCAUUGAAUAAGUAAAAUCCAUCAACGAAAUAACAUCAAAUCAUUGAAAUUUUCAAAAUUAAUACAUAAACCUGGAUUAGAUACCCAGCUAUAAUAGAAUCCCCCCCCGGUAGUCAAACUUAUUAAAACCAAUAAAGCUUGGCAGUUAUAAGUUAUUAGAGAAACUUGUUUUAUAAUUGUAAAUUCUCACUAAAUUUGACUUAUAUUUAAAGUUUAUAUACCGCCGUUUCUGAAGCAAUAACAACAAAAUAUCCAAACAAACAACCAUUAAAAAAUCAGGUCAAGGUAUAGCCAACAUAAAAGUAAAAAUUAGUUACACAUAAUAAUAAAUUAACGAAAAUUAUAUUAAAAUAUAGAUGGAAACAGAAUCUAAAAACAAUUAAAUAAUUAAAAAAUAAUAUUGAAAUUCAACCUAAUAAUGUACAUAUCGCCCGUCACCAUCUUCGUACCAACCCAAAGAUGUAAGUCGUAACAAAGUUGAGAUUUUGGAAAAAGUCUC
RNAcentral lists this ribosomal RNA (705 nucleotides) under Mesabolivar sp. ITV1036I2. Its description in RNAcentral is "12S ribosomal RNA". The record is from RNAcentral. Lineage: Eukaryota; Metazoa; Arthropoda; Arachnida; Araneae; Pholcidae.